AAGAUCCUGUGGAUCUGGAGCUUGGUGCGUAAAUAACGAGAGGUGCGUUCAGAAGAGCCAGAACUUUUAGAGACCGGCAAACCCGUUGGCAUUCCAUGAUGACCAUCUUUAUGAAAGAUAUCGAUUCUCAGCUGAGCGAAUGACAUAUUUUUGCCUGCUGCUUAAGCCGUAUGUUGGCAAUGUGAGUCAUCGAAGCCGUGCGCUCACAGUCCCACAGACUGUGUGCGUAGCGUUGCGUUACUUCGCUACUACGUCUGCCACGCAAUUCGGAAGGUGGUGCUUGCUCUAGCACAGCUCUUGAACACAUUUGUUCCCAGGGCACCUGCCCAUGCACGCAAUUAAAAAGCGAUUUUAUGACAUAGCAGUGAACAUAUAAAUAUUCACUUAAAUUGAAACUUCAACUAUGAAUAAUCUAGGCCCCAUGAUGUUUACUGUUGAAUAUGAAAUUCAUCCUACUCCUUAGGCGAUUACAUUAAUCACAGGUCAUUCCACAGCAUCAACGUCCAGAUGAGUUGUGACCAUCAAUACUUGGUGACCAGCAUUGAGGCAAAGUGGCCUGGGUCAGUCCAUGACUCCCGGAUCUUUAGGGAGUCUGCACUGUGCCACAGACUAGAGCAAGGGCUCUUCAGUGGAUUGCUGGUAGGGGACCGAGGGUACGCCUGCCAGCCCUUUUUGAUGACCCCCUAUCCUGACCCCAACACACGGCCACAGACUGCUUUUAAUGUGGCCCUGAACAGAACAAGGGGUCAAGAUAGAGAUGACCUUUGGCAUUAUAAAGGCAUGCUUUAACUGACUGCAUUUUGGACAUUUUGGCGGGGGGUCUGGGGGUUUCUCCCCCCGA
Hypomesus transpacificus is the source of this 841-nucleotide long non-coding RNA. RefSeq lists it as uncharacterized. The record is from RefSeq and is a predicted model, not a curated record. Lineage: Eukaryota; Metazoa; Chordata; Actinopteri; Osmeriformes; Osmeridae. The transcript is spliced from 3 exons.